ACCGAGCGUAAAGACGCUAUGUAACUCGUUAAUGUGACCUCACGAGAGAGUGACUUUCUGUCACGAUGAUGCUGCAGAGGAAAACUAUAUGGGGUGUGUCUAAGGACACGAGAUCCUCGGAUUCGUCGAGGAAAGCCUUCGUUCAGAAAGCUAGCUGAACAUGUACUGUGGAGAUGCUUCGAUAUCUGGUAAUCAUCUUACCCGAAGAAUAGAGUCUGCGUGUGGCGAGCCACGGGACAGAAACCGUUGAAAUGUUUACUGUCGAG
This 266-nucleotide unclassified non-coding RNA is filed under the name Bombus terrestris (buff-tailed bumblebee). RNAcentral's name for it is "misc RNA ENSBTSG00005029263.1". The record is from RNAcentral. Lineage: Eukaryota; Metazoa; Arthropoda; Insecta; Hymenoptera; Apidae.